RNAcentral lists this ribosomal RNA (484 nucleotides) under uncultured Gammaproteobacteria bacterium. RNAcentral describes it as "bacterial SSU rRNA". It matches the Rfam family "Bacterial small subunit ribosomal RNA", at positions 30 to 508 of the family's 1533-position model. Lineage: Bacteria; Pseudomonadati; Pseudomonadota; Gammaproteobacteria. The record is from RNAcentral.
AUUGAACGCUGGCGGCAGGCCUAACACAUGCAAGUCGAGCGGUAGAGAGAAGCUUGCUUCUCUUGAGAGCGGCGGACGGGUGAGUAAUGCCUAGGAAUCUGCCUGGUAGUGGGGGAUAACGCUCGGAAACGGACGCUAAUACCGCAUACGUCUACGGGAGAAAGCAGGGGACCUUCGGGCCUUGCGCUAUCAGAUGAGCCUAGGUCGGAUUAGCUAGUUGGUGAGGUAAUGGCUCACCAAGGCGACGAUCCGUAACUGGUCUGAGAGGAUGAUCAGUCACACUGGAACUGAGACACGGUCCAGACUCCUACGGGAGGCAGCAGUGGGGAAUAUUGGACAAUGGGCGAAAGCCUGAUCCAGCCAUGCCGCGUGUGUGAAGAAGGUCUUCGGAUUGUAAAGCACUUUAAGUUGGGAGGAAGGGCAUUAACCUAAUACGUUGGUGUCUUGACGUUACCGACAGAAUAAGCACCGGCUAACUCUGUGC